RNAcentral lists this microRNA precursor (66 nucleotides) under Haliotis rufescens (red abalone). Its description in RNAcentral is "mir-1990 microRNA precursor family". It matches the Rfam family "mir-1990 microRNA precursor family". The record is from Rfam by way of RNAcentral. Lineage: Eukaryota; Metazoa; Mollusca; Gastropoda; Lepetellida; Haliotidae.
ACGUGCAGUAAGUUGAUGGGGUCCCAGGUUGUCUAUAAUCCCGGGACUACGUCAACUACUGCAAGG